AUUAGCAUAUCAAUAAGCGGAGGAAAAGAAACCAACAGGGAUUGCCCUAGUAACGGCGAGUGAAGCGGCAACAGCUCAAAUUUGAAAUCUGGCUCUCGGGCCCGAGUUGUAAUUUGUAGAGGAUGCUUUUGAUGCGGUGCCUUCCGAGUUCCCUGGAACGGGACGCCAUAGAGGGUGAGAGCCCCGUCUGGUUGGAUGCCAAAUCUCUGUAAAGCUCCUUCGACGAGUCGAGUAGUUUGGGAAUGCUGCUCUAAAUGGGAGGUAUAUGUCUUCUAAAGCUAAAUACCGGCCAGAGACCGAUAGCGCACAAGUAGAGUGAUCGAAAGAUGAAAAGCACUUUGAAAAGAGAGUUAAAAAGUACGUGAAAUUGUUGAAAGGGAAGCGUUUAUGACCAGACUUGGGCUUGGUUAAUCAUCUGGGGUUCUCCCCAGUGCACUUUUCCAGUCCAGGCCAGCAUCAGUUUUCGCCGGGGGAUAAAGGCUUCGGGAAUGUGGCUCUCUCCGGGGAGUGUUAUAGCCCGUUGCGUAAUACCCUGGCGGGGACUGAGGUUCGCGCAUCUGCAAGGAUGCUGGCGUAAUGGUCAUCAACGACCCGUCUUGAAACACGGACCAAGGAGUCGUCUUCGUAUGCGAGUGUUCGGGUGUCAAACCCCUACGCGUAAUGAAAGUGAACGCAGGUGAGAGCUUCGGCGCAUCAUCGACCGAUCCUGAUGUUCUCGGAUGGAUUUGAGUAAGAGCAUACGGGGCCGGACCCGAAAGAAGGUGAACUAUGCCUGUGUAGGGUGAAGCCAGAGGAAACUCUGGUGGAGGCUCGCAGCGGUUCUGACGUGCAAAUCGAUCGUCAAACAUGGGCAUGGGGGGCGAAAGACUAAUCGAACCUUCUAGUAGCUGGUUUCCGCCGAAUU
Molecule: ribosomal RNA, 904 nt
Filed under: Fusarium scirpi
Lineage: Eukaryota; Fungi; Ascomycota; Sordariomycetes; Hypocreales; Nectriaceae
Description: LSU rRNA
Rfam family: Eukaryotic large subunit ribosomal RNA
Source: RNAcentral